GACGAACGCUGGCGGCGUGCUUAACACAUGCAAGUCGAACGGAAAGGCCCUGCUUUUGUGGGGUGCUCGAGUGGCGAACGGGUGAGUAACACGUGAGUAUCCUGCCCUUGACUUUGGGAUAACUUCAGGAAACUGGGGCUAAUACCGGAUAGGAGCUCCUGCUGCAUGGUGGGGGUUGGAAAGUUUCGGCGGUUGGGGAUGGACUCGCGGCUUAUCAGCUUGUUGGUGGGGUAGUGGCUUACCAAGGCUUUGACGGGUAGCCGGCCUGAGAGGGUGACCGGCGACAAUGGGACUGAGAUACGGAGCAGACGCCUACGGGAGGCAGCAGUGGGGAAUAUUGCACAAUGGGCGGAAGCCUGAUGCAGCAGCGCCGCGUGCGGAAUGACGGCCUUCGGGUUGUAAACCGCUUUCGCCUGUGACGAAGCGUGAGUGACGGUAAUGGGUAAAGAAGCACCGGCUAACUACGUG
This 468-nucleotide ribosomal RNA is filed under the name uncultured bacterium. RNAcentral describes it as "partial 16S ribosomal RNA". It matches the Rfam family "Bacterial small subunit ribosomal RNA", at positions 28 to 507 of the family's 1533-position model. The record is from RNAcentral.